Long non-coding RNA from Bos taurus (domestic cattle), 1490 nucleotides. NCBI's taxonomy places the organism in Eukaryota, Metazoa, Chordata, Mammalia, Artiodactyla, Bovidae. The record is from Ensembl.
GCCUUUUUCCACGCCAAGUGAGGGUGGGUGGUUGGAGCCCAGAACAGGGGGCACCUGUCAUCCCUUCCAGAAUUUGCCUUUUUCCAUUGCCUCCCUGUAGAACUUCUCUCCUCCCUUGAAGACUUUGCUUCUCCUAGAACCUCUCUCAGACUCAUCAGUCUCCUUCCCAAGUUCCGUGCAACCUGGAAAUGUCAGUGUUCCCCAGAGGUCUGCCCUUAAACCUGCAGGCUGGUGGGGUGUCCUCACGGGUUCCUACCCACUGGGAAAGCCUUUCCCUGGAAGAUGCUGGGUCUUCAUCUGCUCCCACGUCUGGAGGUACAGCACAGACAGCUCUUGAAGAAAUGGAUGUCUAAUGGGUACUUUGAAGAGGACCUCACUCUACUCUGUUCCUGGGCUCCCAUCACCAUGAAUGCUGUCCCUAUCCACCUCAAGCUCCAGAGACAGAAAAUUCAGUCAUCUUUACCUUCUCUCCUUAAAUCAUUCUACUGAAUAUUCUGCUGUUCUGUUCUGGAAAGGUUUCACCCAUCUGUCCCUUCUCCCACCCUCUUGCCAUUGCCUUAGCUCAGGCCACCUUCAACUCAAGGCAACGGCUUCAGUCUGUCCUCUCUUCCCUCUUCUUGCCUUUAAAUAUCCUCUACACCUACCACAGGGAUCUUUCUAGAACCCCCACCUGACUACAUCGUUCCCCUGUUGCAAAGCCUUCAUAUACACUCAUCAACCUCAGGAUAGAGUCUGAGCUCCCUAGGGAGGCACUGGUGGAGAAGGAAAUGGCAACCCACUCCAGUAUCCUUGCCUAGAGAAUCCUGUGGAUGGAGGAGCCUGGUGGGCUGCUGUCCAUAGGGUCUCACAGAGUCAGACACGACUGAAGCGACUUAGCAGCAGCAGCAGCAGCAGCAGGAAAGCACUGGAAGCCCUGCCCAACUUGUCUUCAUCUGAACCUCCCUCCUUCCUGCCCUGCAUUUCAGCCACAUUUCAUGUCCUUUCCCUGAACACACUACACACUUUCUCAUCCCUGGAUUUUUCUGCUAUAAUUUGUCUCUGACUGCGAUAUACUUCCCUUUCUCCCCAUGGGAGCUAUAACCAUUCCUUAAAGAGUCCUCUCAAGGCUGACUCCUCGGGAAGUCUUCCUCCCUGCCUCACCCCAGCGAGCCAACUUCCUCCCUCCUUUGUGCUCCCAGAACACCUUUGCCUCUUGGCUAACUGGACCCUGAAGCCUCCUGAUUGUAGGAUCUCCCUCCGCACCCUUGUCCCAGCAUGGCAUGACAUGGUGGGCUCCAGGAGUGAAGAUCAAGUCCAGUGGCCUUUCUCAUGGGGACCCUCGGUGACUCACUGCCUAAAUCUAGUUUGCUUCUUGACCAAUCCAAGACCCUUUAAGACAAAAUUUUAAUUUUUUUCUUUUUUGGAUGUAGACAGCACUUCACAGUUUACAAGUGUUUCCAGGUUUAUUUUCUCGUUCCAUGGUCUUUACCCCUCUGUGGAUUGUCAGGGAC